GAUGAACGCUGGCGGCGUGCCUAAUACAUGCAAGUCGAGCGAACAGAUAAGGAGCUUGCUCCUGUGACGUUAGCGGCGGACGGGUGAGUAACACGUGGGUAACCUACCUAUAAGACUGGAAUAACUCCGGGAAACCGGGGCUAAUGCCGGAUAACAUUUAGAACCGCAUGGUUCUAAAGUGAAAGAUGGUUUUGCUAUCACUUAUAGAUGGACCCGCGCCGUAUUAGCUAGUUGGUAAGGUAACGGCUUACCAAGGCAACGAUACGUAGCCGACCUGAGAGGGUGAUCGGCCACACUGGAACUGAGACACGGUCCAGACUCCUACGGGAGGCAGCAGUAGGGAAUCUUCCGCAAUGGGCGAAAGCCUGACGGAGCAACGCCGCGUGAGUGAUGAAGGUCUUCGGAUCGUAAAACUCUGUUAUUAGGGAAGAACAAAUGUGUAAGUAACUGUGCACGUCUUGACGGUACCUAAUCAGAAAGCCACGGCUAACUACGUG
Molecule: ribosomal RNA, 497 nt
Filed under: uncultured bacterium
Lineage: Bacteria
Description: partial 16S ribosomal RNA
Rfam family: Bacterial small subunit ribosomal RNA
Source: RNAcentral